GAUGAAGAACGCAGCGAAAUGCGAUAAGUAAUGUGAAUUGCAGAAUUCAGUGAAUCAUCGAAUCUUUGAACGCACAUUGCGCCCGCCAGUAUUCUGGCAGGCAUGCCUGUCCGAGCGUCAUUAUCAACCCUCAAGCCCCUUUGGCUUGGUGUUGGAGACUGGCGGGGCGCAUGCGCCCGGAGCCACUCCCAAAUACAAUGACGGCGGCGACGAUGACCCCCGGUACACUGAGCUUCUCACCGAGCACGUGCUGGAAGGGUCUUGUGGCCACGGUCUGCCUCCCCUCUGGGAGAAACGGAUUUCAUCCACCAAGGUUGACCUCGGAUCAGGUAGGGAUACCCGCUGAACUUAAGCAUAUCAAUAAGCGGAGGA
RNAcentral lists this unclassified non-coding RNA (372 nucleotides) under soil metagenome. Its description in RNAcentral is "partial contains 5.8S ribosomal RNA, internal transcribed spacer 2, and large subunit ribosomal RNA". The stretch from base 1 to 120 matches the Rfam family "5.8S ribosomal RNA", at positions 35 to 154 of the family's 154-position model. The record is from RNAcentral.